CCACAACGUUUUACGACACACAAACAACAAGAAAAUAAUCAUUCGUCGCCUGAGCAGGAACUCAUUUUUGCCAGCGACGGAAGUGACGAUUUUUCCCCUUUCCGCUCCCCGUAACCUCGUCUCCUCCGAGGUGUUUAGCGAGCGAGGAACAUGGCUGCUGUGGAUUCGGAGCUACGGGACGCAGAAGUGGAAGAUGCUGAUACAUCAGAUAAGAGUGGAGUAGAGGAAAAUGGAGAAGUCUCAGAAGAAGAACAGCCCCAAAACAAGCACAGCAAACACAAGAAAAAGAAACACAAGCAUCGGAGCAAGCACAAGAAACAUAAACAUUCUUCUGAGGAGGAGAAAGAUAAAAAACACAAACAUAAGCAUAAACACAAAAAACACAAAAGAAAAGAUUCUGGAAAUAUUGAGAAAGGGGAUGUUUCCCCUUCAAAGAGGGCAAAACUGGAUGACUUUGCUUUGCUGGAAGACUUAGAAAAACAGCGUGCUAUGAUAAAAGCUGAACUUGACAAUGAAUUAAUGGAGGGAAAAGUUCAGUCUGGCAUGGGUUUAAUAUUGCAGGGUUAUAACUCUGGAUCUGAAGAGGAAGGUGAGAUUAACGAAAAAGCCCGUAAUGGUAAAAAAACUUCUUCCAAGUCAAAUGCCAAGGGAAAACAUGAUCUUGAUUCCAAACCUGCCUCCAGUAAAGCCAAAGAGAAGGCAAAACAUAAAUCAGAAAAGAAAAAAACCAAAACCAAUUCUGAAGUUGUUAAAGAAAAAAUACCAAGCAGCAAAUCAAAGGAGAGAAGAAAAUCUAAAAGUCCAGCAAAAAGAAGUAAAUCAGAAGAUCAGCCAAGAAGGUCACCUGCCCUUCACCGGCAGUCACCAGAAAAAAAUAUAAAAACAAAAUCACCUCAAGAAGAAAGGGUGAAGUCAAGAGAUAGAAAGAAAUCACCAGUGGCUAGUGAGAGUAAAAGCAGAGAGAGAACGAAAAAAUCAAAAUCCCCUGUUUCUAGAAGGAGCAAAUCAAAAGAGAGACGUUCAAAAUCAAAAGAGAGGAAACCCAGGAAGUCUGAGUCAGACAGAGAUAAAAAGCCUCUUAAAUCUCCAUCAAAAGAUGCUUCUUCUGGAAAAGAAAACCGAUCACCUGGGCGUAGAACAGCACGGAGUCCUAAGGCCAGAAGCCUGUCUCCUAAACUGCGUGAUAGGGCUGUAAGACACAGCAGAUCUCCACCUGUUCAUGAUCGCAAAAGUAAACAGUCUCCACCAAGAAUACAGUCCCCCACAAGGAGAGCUAAGAGCAAAUCUGUUGAAAGAAAAAGACGAGAACCAGAAAGAAGGAGGCUAUCUUCUCCCAGAUCAAGAAUUAGGGAGGAUAUCGCAGCAAGACAUGAUCGAAUAAAAGAAGCCAGUCCUCCUAGAUGGUCUCCUUCUCGUAGACGACCAAGCAGGUCUCCAGUGCGAAGGCGAUCACGCUCCCCUCUGAGGAGGAGCAGAUCCCCUAGGAGAAGAAGCAGAUCGCCCCAUAGACGAGAAAGAGGUAGAAGAAGUAGAUCUCGUUUAAGGCGGAGGUCACAUUCCCGAAGUGGACGUUUUCGUAGAAGAAGAAGCAGAAGCAAAGAUAAAGAGGACAAGUUUAAAGGAAGCCUUUCUGAGGGGAUGAAAAUUGAGCAAGAAUCUUCUGAUGAUAACCUGGAAGAUUUUGACGUGGAAGAAGAAGAUGAGGAAGCUGUAAUAGAACAGAGGCGACUACAGAGACUAGCAAUUGUACAAAAAUAUAGUUACUUAUAUGAAGACAGCAAUAUGUCUAUGCCGUCGGAGCCUAGCAGUCCUCAGAGCAGUACACGAAGUCGUUCACCUUCUCCAGACGAUAUCCUUGAACGGGUUGCUGCCGAUGUUAAAGAAUAUGAGAGAGAGAACAUUGACACGUUUGAAGCUUCUGUGAAAGCCAAAUAUAAUCUCAUGACUGAACAGAAUAAUGGUGCGAUUCAGAAGAAGGUAUUAGCACCAGACAUGUUCACAGAAUCUGAUGACAUGUUUGCUGCAUAUUUUGACAGUGCUCGUUUUAGGGCUGCUGGAAUUGGAAAAGAUUUCAAGGAAAAUCCUAAUCUGAGGGAUAACUGGACAGAUUCAGAAGGCUAUUACCGUGUAAACAUUGGUGAAAUACUGGAAAAACGUUAUAAUGUAUAUGGAUACACUGGUCAGGGUGUAUUCAGUAAUGUUGUACGUGCUCGGGAUAUGGCAAGAGCAAAUCAAGAGGUUGCUGUCAAAAUUAUCAGAAACAACGAACUUAUGCAAAAAACUGGUUUGAAAGAACUUGAGUUCCUUAAGAAGUUGAAUGAUGCUGACCCAGAUGACAAGUUCCAUUGUUUACGAUUAUUCAGGCACUUUUAUCACAAGCAACAUUUGUGUCUAGUGUUUGAGCCACUCAGCAUGAAUUUGAGGGAGGUUCUGAAAAAAUAUGGAAAAGAUGUUGGACUGCAUAUUAAAGCUGUGAGAUCCUACAGCCAGCAGCUCUUUCUGGCAUUAAAACUUUUAAAAAGAUGCAAUAUCCUUCAUGCUGAUAUUAAGCCUGAUAAUAUUUUGGUAAACGAAUCCAAAACUAUACUGAAACUUUGUGAUUUUGGAUCAGCAUCUCAUGUUGCAGAUAAUGAUAUUACGCCCUACCUUGUCAGCCGAUUUUACAGAGCACCUGAAAUUAUAAUUGGAAAAAUGUACGACUAUGGAAUAGAUAUGUGGUCAGUGGGUUGCACCUUAUAUGAACUCUAUAAUGGAAAGAUUUUAUUCCCUGGCAAAACUAACAAUCACAUGCUAAAAUUAGCUAUGGAUUUGAAAGGAAAAAUGCCAAACAAGAUGAUUCGGAAAGGUGUUUGUAAGGACCAGCACUUUGAUGCAAAUCUCAACUUUAUGUACAUUGAAGUCGAUAAAGUAACAGAAAGGGAGAAAGUUACCGUCAUGAGCACUAUUAACCCAACAAAGGACCUAUCGGCAGACUUAGUAGGCUGUCAACGACUUCCAGAAGAUCAACGUAAAAAAGUACAUCAACUUAAGGACUUGCUGGAUCAGAUUCUAAUGCUAGAUCCAGCUAAAAGGAUAAGCAUCAAUCAAGCUCUUCAACACCCAUUCAUCCAGGAAAAAAUCUAACUGUUCCAAAUGGUUUCACUAUCUCCCGCCAGAUCUGAAGACCUUUUCCAGCAACUUAUUAAUGUAUAUAAAUCUAUAAAUCUUUCUCCUGCAAAGCUGAAAAAGCAUGACUUGUUUAAAUAACAAGGAAGGUUUUGGUUUCCUUUUUUCAGAGCUGUUUGAGUAAAUGAUAUAUCUACACAAUGUUUCCACUAUCAAACUGACUGUAAAUUGAUAGGAAAAGUUAUGUCUGCAGUGCUAAUGCAGUCUGCUGUCAGUUACACAGUGUUGGAAUUUAAUGCUUGGAUGUUGAUAUUUUAUUUUUAGCAGUCAUGGCUCAUAUCUUUUAUUUUUUACUUUUAUUAAAUUCGUCUUUUUGGUCUUGAGAAAACUUGACCAGCAUAAAUGCUGUUUAUAUUCACAUUUCCCUAGGUUGUGUGCACAGGCCUCUGCACCAUGCCCUUGUACUAGUCAGUGCCGAAGGGGGGCCUAUUCCUUCAUGAGCCUACCUCCAGGGAUGGUUUCCUCUUUUAAAGCAGGUUGUGUACAACUUUCAGUACACUGAAGGUAAGCUAAACCAUCAGCAUCACUGGUAUUUUUAAACGUCUGUGUUUGUAUAUUAUAUAAAUAACUAUUGCUUUUGUCAGCGGACAAAUGAGAAUUUGAUUUCUAGUGGCAGAGUUAACCCCCUGCAUGUUUCACAAGUGACCUGUUGUUGGGAUUUCUUUAUGUUGCGUUUGAUUUGGACUGUAUAACAGCAGCAGUUGCAACACUUUCUCUUCAAUACUGUUACCAUUGUUUGCGCACUUGAUGGAUAAAGCGCCUUCAGUGUACUGUCUAAGUAAAUUUUGUACUUUUUUUUUUUUUUUUUUUUUUUAAAUCUGUUUUCUUCAUAUUGAGCAUUUAAUUCAUGUGUUAUAAUGACCCAGAAAUGUUACAUUCAAAAUCAAAUAUGGGGACAAUGUUGGUCAUGUUUAAAAUAACAUUUUAACAAACCAAAAUGUAUGUCUUGAAAUGUGCAUUUGUGUUAUUUCAGUCUGUGCCAAAGGGGUUCCCGUUUUUUCUGUUCAUGGUGAUUCUCUCUGGCACUGACUGAAGUUUCUGGUUAAAAUGUUAACUUUUCUCUGUUUUCAUUACUUGUGAUCAUGUUGUCUUUCAAUACAGGCAUAAACUCUUCACUCUUGAACAAAAGCAGCUGCUUUUUAAAAGCGGAAAUAAAGGAAAGCAAGACACAGGCCUCCCAGCGUCUGAUUUGCUGAGACACCAGCAUCACCUUCCUCACAAGGUCAUUUCUGACAGCAUGUGUAGAUAAGCAUUUAGCAAAAAUAUUCAGACAAAAUGGAUUUACCCACAGUUUUAUUUAUAAAAGGAAAUCCUGUUUAUUAGUUUUAAAAUGCAAAGCACUUGUUCCUGGUCAAAAAAAUCUAUACAAAAGUAUGGAUAGAAAUGAUGUAGGUCUUUUUUUGUAUCAUUUCUGUUUUUCUCUGCAAAUAAAAAGGGAAUAAUCCAUUUUGUGAAAGGUGGAUUUUUUUUGUUGAGUGCCCAGUUUAUGUAUAUAUUUCUAACAUUCCGAAGGGCAAGAUUUGUUAUGCCGAAUCACAGUUGAUAGUAUUGAGUUUCGCAGGAUUUCUAAGAUUAGAAAUUGUGGAUCCUCGGAUGGAACCACCUCGCAGCAUCUGCUCAGACAAGAAAAAGAUAGAAAUCUUUGCAAAAUAUUAGACUCUCUGCAAAAAGCUUUGUUUUUAUAUUGAAGGAUAAAGUUGCUGGUUUACCCGUUUCUUUGUGUUUUAGAUGCAGUUUGGCUGAAGACGAUUGCAAGAAGACCAACACCAAGGUUCCUUUUGGUAAGAUACUCUACCCCCCUGGAAUUUUUGGUGACUGUGAAGAGAAGAAAGAGUUCACUUUGUCUUUCCGUUGUUCAUGAAACAUAGAAAAUAUGUUUAGAAAAUAGACUAUAUUUAGAAAUAUAGUUUCCAUAUAUGAAUGCAAGGCCUCUGGCUCAUGCCCCUCAUAACAGAGAGAAACGGCAAGAUGUUGGGGUCUUUAUGUAUUAAGUAUAAGUGAACUGCUUUUGGUUGUAUACCUUUGUGAGAAACCUUUGUGCACAUACAAACCACAACCUCAAGAUCACUACAGAUUUUAUAAGAUAUCAAGGCAUAAAUCCUGAUGUAAAAUGGAAUUUGGAUCCAACAGUUUAACAGAAACGGGGCAUUGCCUGAUUUGGUCUGUUGACACAAGAGCUUACUCUAAAACAACACGUUACUUAGAAGCAAAGAAAAUGUAUAAAGGUAGCUGUAAUCUGAUUUAGUUAAGCCACUUAGGCCCCUUAUUUGUAGAGAUCAAAUGUAUCUUUUCAUCAUUGUGGCAAUACAAUGAAGUUAUAUAAAGUUAUCAAAGUGAUUGGUAAAUUUGAUUUACGAAGCAGAAAAAAAGAUGGGUGUUCAGUACGAUCACCAUUAUGGGUCAGAUUUUUAUUUUAGAAGAAUUUUACUAUUAACUAUUUCAAGGCAAUGUUUGAUCGCUUCUGACCAUUUCUUUUGGCUUAAGUUGUCUUAGGGCACUGGAAUUUGGAAGUUUUGGCGCCAGAGUUUAAUCUUCUCUAGUGCGUAUAACACUGUCCGAAGUUUCCUUGCCACCGGCCAUAAUGCAAAUCCUUUUUAAAGUAAAUCCAGCCAACAAUUUUGCAGCUGUUGUCUCUUCAGAACGGUUUCAGCAUUUAUGUUUAACCGAUAUGUUAUGUGUCAACCGAUAUCUUGUUUGAAAGUAUGUGUAUAACUAUUAUGGAUUUCCCUCUGUAAACAAACUUUUUAAUAAAUGAGAAUUUUUCCCCAAA
Molecule: RNA transcript, 5935 nt
Organism: Xenopus laevis (African clawed frog)
Lineage: Eukaryota; Metazoa; Chordata; Amphibia; Anura; Pipidae
Gene: prp4k.L
Gene name: pre-mRNA processing factor 4B L homeolog
Exons: 17
Source: RefSeq, marked provisional